Molecule: long non-coding RNA, 725 nt
Filed under: Astyanax mexicanus (Mexican tetra)
Lineage: Eukaryota; Metazoa; Chordata; Actinopteri; Characiformes; Acestrorhamphidae
Description: lncRNA (ENSAMXG00005008273.1)
Source: RNAcentral
UGCAGUUUGGAGCGCUCACGGAGGAGGAGGGGGAGAGAGAGUGAGAGCAAGGCAGAGAGGGAGGGAGAGAGAGAAAAAGAGAGAGAGAGGGGAAGUGAGAUAGAGGGAGACAGGAGAAGGAAAGAGAGAGAGGGAGUGCGAACAAUGUCAUUCCGUUCAGUAAGGCAAAUGCUGCAGUCAACUUUACGGCUCAAGUGAAGGCACACCACCAGAGGCUGCGGAGGCAUCCUGAGAGCAGAACAAGAGGAGGCUGAAGGGCGCUCUGCUGAACAGGAACAUGCCUUGACUUGUACCGGCUUGUCUGAAGGGAGCACUGGCUUGUGGUCAACAGCAGCAGCUGUGUGCAUUUCACUCAGCACUGACCCGGCAGCAGGAGGACAGCAGCUCUAUCCUCCGAUUUCUGGAAAUACAGAACAAACACAGGUAUCUCAGUAUCACUGAACUCUGACUGAGAGGACUGAUCAUCUUCCAAUCCAGCUCUCAGGACAGCUUGUUUACUGCUGGACUUCCCUUCAGUGGAAAGCCCCUCAACUUUAUCUCACUCCAGCGUGUUCCUAGAGCUCACCAAGAGCACUCAGCCUGUUCCUGCAGAGAACCACAGGUAAGAAGAUUUUCAUCUGUGAUCAAGUUUAUUAUAUAUUUACAUCUAUAAUAAACAUAUAUUUAUAUGUCUCCAUUAAAAUAUAUCACACUACCCUUGUGAAAAUGAAGUAUACUUUAGAGCA